Molecule: long non-coding RNA, 5555 nt
Organism: Siniperca chuatsi (mandarin fish)
Lineage: Eukaryota; Metazoa; Chordata; Actinopteri; Centrarchiformes; Sinipercidae
Exons: 3
Source: RefSeq, a predicted model, not a curated record
CCUGUACCCCACAUGCCCUGAGUUCAAUUGGAGUAACUUCUUUAGUCCGAACUUACUGCGAUCUCUUGCCAGUUUGUUUUUUAGUCUCUGUCUAUCCUGCUCGUACCUAGGACAACUGAUAAUUACAUGUUCUACAGUUUCCUUUAUGUUACAGUACUCACACAUACCAGUGCCAUGUUUACCAGUUAUCUUCAGUGUACUAUUAAGACCAGUAUGCCCAAACCUCAUCCUUGAUAUAAUGUCUUCUUCUUUUUUUGAUCUACUGGUUUCCCUCAUUUCUCCCACUUUCUUUUGGAUACUAUAGUAACGUCUACCUUUCGUUUCCCUCUUCCAAAUUUCCUGCCAUUUCUUUUUCAUUUCUACCUUAAUUAUGCUUUUAACUUCAGCUUUACUAUAACUUACUGUCAUAUUUACUUCUACUUUCUUAGUUGCAUCUUUUGCAUACUUGUCUGCCAGUUCAUUUCCCUCUACCCCUAUAUGUGCUUGAACCACAUUGCAUGUGUCUUGAUAGCUAACUUAACUCAUCUUAACUUAUCUUCGACGACGACGAUUAUAAGAAAAUAAGACUUCCGGACUAUUCCUUCAAAAUAAAAGCGUAGCAUACAUGAAAUCCAUGAUAUUGAAAUCUGACAACUCUCUGUAUGUAGGAGGCCGUUCCACAGGGUUUUGAAUACAUCUGAUGAAGGUGAUUGCUGUCACAGUCAGUUGUUCGGCAGCACAAUUUGCAUUUGAAAUAAAUCUGCCUGUGACACAACCCUCACUGCACAAACCACCUCUGUCUAGUCUCAGACGAGCUGCCUUGCAUCAUCUUGAGCGCUGUGGAAUCCUCAACAAACAAAAGACUAGCUUGGUGCAACAACUGAUGCCUAAUGUCAGACAAUUAUUGCUAGAUUGGAAUUUCUGCCGUAUAAAUGGAUCGUGCACAUAAUAUAUCACUCCCACCCUCUUGCACCGAUCUAACAAUAAUCAUUCAGACACUACCAAUAACUACGCAUUAUUUAAGUGCCAGGAGAUGCAAAACAUCUGGGUAACAAUAAUACGGAUCUCUACCUCUACCUCUUUACUCAUGUCUUUGUAUCUUGGGUUUGUCUCUUGAUAAUCUGAAACCAUCAAGACCAGUGUCUCCUAACCUUUUUGACUUGUGUGACCCUAUGAAACAACACCAAGUCAACUCAUGACUCCUCAUUUGAGUUGUGAGCACUUGAAGCCAGUGAGAGUGUGAUUUUAACCUUCUCAGAUUGUUUAAUUUGAUCAUUUUUUAGAGGCUAGAAGAGGUAAAACUAUCCAGUAUUUUACAAGAGAAGAGCACAGAUACAUGCAUUAAAACUGAGUAUCAUUUUAUAGAGCAGGAAAUCAUCUUGUGACUCCCCCUGGGGUUUCUAACCCCCAGGUUGGAAGCCACGGAUCAAGAUUGAAAAUUUGUUAAAAUUAGUUGAAUUGGAUUGUCAUUCAAAAAAAAUGAAGUGCCAACUGUUAGCUGAAGAGCCACUUCAGUUGCCUGGCCGUGAAAAAACGAACAUACUCAAAUUCAUGGUGUCCACAUUCAUAAAUAUAUAGGGACACUUCAUGCAUUUUUUUGGAAAAUAAGUUACCAAAUCAAUUCUGUACUUUUUGAUAAAGAAACAGCUUUUGUAUGACAGUGAAUUAAAGCUGCAGCUAAGAAUGAUUUUCAUUAUCAAUUAGUCUGUUUAGUCUAUAAAAUUGUUAUAAAAUGUGAAAAUUGCACUGUGAAGUUAGCUCUCCUGUGGAGAAAUUACAGAGGUGGAGAGGCGGUCUGUAGUGUCCAAAGAAAAGUAGAACUCCCUUUAAAAUGUAAUAUUUUUUAAUACAGAAGUCCGGUCAUGAAAACAACCUUAAAAAGCCCUUUAUACUUCUGAGGGGUUUCACACAGCACGUGUGCUUUGCACCUGUGUCAGGGUGACUGAGAAUGACGUGGACAAAGAGCUGUUGCACUAUGAGGAGGAUGCAGUGGAGGCUGCGGGGGUCGGGAUGUUGGAGAUGCAGGUGACAGGUCGAUAAGGAAGGAGAGAAUGAAGGGCUCCUAUGUGUCCAUUCACUCCUCUGGAUUCAGAGACUUCCUGCUAAAACCUGAACUGCUCAGAUCCAUAGUGGACUGUGGGUUUGAGUAUCCUUUUGAGGGUGAGUAGCUAGUGAAACACAAGAAAAUAUUUGAGGAUUUUAGAAUUCCAAUAAACUGAAAAGAGAAGUAGGCAGGUAUACAGUGCAUUCAGAAAGUAUUCAGACCCCUUCACCCUUUUUCACAUUUUGUUAUGUUGCAGCCUUAUGCUAAAAUCAUUUAAAAAAAUUUCCCCUCAUCAAUGUACACUCAAUACCCAAUAAUGACAAAGGGAAAACAGGAUUUUAGAAAUGUUUACAAUUUUAUUAUAAAGAAAAAACUGAAGUAUUCACACUGUUUGCUAUGACAAAUUUAGUUUGGAUGGCUCCCAUUUCUCUGAGAUGUUUCUACACCUUGAUUAGAGUCCAACUGUGGUAAAUUAAAUAAGUUGGGCAUGGGUUAGGGUUAGGGAAGUUUGGAACAACCAGGGGUGCAUCCCAAGUCUCUUAAUUGCAUCCAUGUUUCCCUCACUUGUGUCUUUUCCUUGCGUCUUUGUCCAGCAAACUGUGCGAGGAAACGAGGAAAUGUGUUUUUAGAGAAAUGAGACGUCCUUUCUUCUGAAGCGUCAAGUGAAGCGACGUCUGUUUCUGAUGACGGCAGCAGCUGAUCACAGCUGGAUCAGCUGUCAGUCGGCUUUAGCAGCUGUAGAGACUUGAUGGAGUUUGUGUCUGCACACGUGUGCUGUGCUCAUGCUAAUAAAAGGCACAUGGCUAAAUGUUUCAUGGAAAAUUUAAAUGAUGUAACAACGUCUCCUAACUGGAUGCGAGCGUCCAACAAUCGCUGCACGUCUGUUGUCAUGUAAACAAACCAUGUAGGCCUACCUACAUCAGCUGUGCGCUCGAGAUCAGACUGGAGACUCAAGUAAAGCAUGGUUUGUCUCACUACCAGCGGUUCAAGGACUUCCAGAGGAGAAUCUUGGUGGCUACAAACCUGUUUGGAAAAGGGAUGGGCAUCGAGAGAGUCAACAUCGCCUUUAAUUAUGACAUGCCAGAAGACUCCGACACCUACCUACACUGGGUUGCCUGGGCAGGCAGGUUUGGCACAAAGGGCCUGGCUAUCACAUUUGUGUCUGAUGAAAGCAUCACCUGCACACUUAACAACGUCCAGCGAGCUGCCAGACAAGAUCGACAUCUCCUCUUACAUAAGUUCUCAUUCACUCUUUGGAUUUAUUUGAAGUUUAUUCAAAGUUCCCCUUCAGUAACCUUUCCCAUGUGUGUGUCCCUGCAGUUGAACCAGCACGAUAGACGAGCCAGAUGCCACCCCGGGGCUCACAGUCACUUUGUAUUUGCAGUUUCACUCUGAUGGUAGAUGCAGACUGUCUUUAUAUAAAUCCUGGCAUGUCAGACAGCAGAUAUUUUCCUAACCUUGUGACAGUUGCUUUUGAAAGAAUGAAAGCAGAACAGUAGUGGUACAGCUCCCUCUGCAGGAAGAAAUCAGGACAGACUUUGUUUAAUAAUGUUUGUUUUAUUUCAAUUUAUAUCAGUAUUUGUUAAUGGAUAUUUCAUUUUCAUAUUGUGUUGUUUUAUGAAGGAUAGCUGGUUUUCUAGAUGUGCUAAGACUUUUUACCAGAGGUUGUGUAGCUCUAGGACUGACAGUUGAGAAGCAGACAUGACUAAACAUUGUUCACUGCUAUGUGGAUUAAUAAAUCUGGUUUUUGCCUGGUCAAGUCCCUCUCAUUCUUCACCUGCAUAUUCAAUAUUUUUCAAAUCCCACAAAAAUACCAAAAGCAACAAUGUGUUGUCUCACAAUACUUUCUGACAUCUCUACCCUGUCUGUGGCUCUCAGUUAAAACCCGUUGGUUUCUACAGAAGAUGUAAAUCUUUAAAAACACCUCACAAAUAUAUAGUUUCAUUUUUAAAAAAGGUUCAGUAAUUUCCUGGACACUAGCUUUUAUCAAAUGCCACUCAAACAGGAGGAAAUAGUGCAUUUGUUGGGGACUAUUUUCAGCGUUGGAUUAAUACACAUUCGGUGCUCUACUAUUUCCAGCUGAAGGGCAGUGUAUAUAGAAUACCACCAGUCUUAUCCUGUAGAAGUGUUGUAAAGCUUGGGAGAUAUAAAAUGCUGCUGUGCUGGAUUCAAACCUGGAAUGUUUUCUUCUUUAUGGCACGGUACGCUCGUUGGACCAGUGAGCCACGCUUGGUUUUAAACUGUAAAACAUUACUUGAAUAUUAGUCUUACCAAUAUAAUUUAGUCUUGCACGUGGAUGAUUCCCCACCAUUUGUGGGGGCCAAACGAGGUACUUUUUAACAUGUUUGUGAAACAGGAAGAGAGGAAGCAGAGAGAUAAGUGCUGAUCACAACUCACUUGGAUGACACACAACCACAUCUGUAUUUCUUUUUAAGAUCUCUUUGACGUGUCACUGCUUAGGUGAUGCUUGUCAACUCUUGGCUAACCUUUCACUGCCAACUGUGAACCUUUUGCUGUCAGUACAUACUGUAGUAUCUCCACCAGCUAGCCCUAUGCAACGUAGUGCCUCCUAGUGCUGUUUGAAUUCAAAAUUCAGUUUGCAGCAGGCCGUGCCUUGUGUUCAUAAAAUGUCUGGUUUCCAGAAAGUAGCAAGCCAUGCUGAGCAAAUAAUCACAACACCAAACCAUCUGAGAAGUAAUUUGAUGAAGCAGUUUGGACUUGAUAGAUGGAAGAAAUCGUGGAUAAAAGGUGAGGCUGUCUGCUGACUUUUAAAGAGUGACUUAACACCAGGCUGAUGUGUUUACUGCCCUCUCUGGCUCAAACUUUCAAGCCUGUUUCACCUCUGACCACAGCCACCAUCACAGAUGGAUAUGGUUGCGUGUGGUCAUAAGUGUGAUCUGAUGCACCUGUAACCACACCCUGAAGUGAUGUCACAGUGUCCUGGGGUACAUGUAUACAUCACUGCGGAAAGGUGAGAAGUUAAACCAAUGGAGGACAGCAAAAACAAGAUUUUCAGGAGAGUUAAGUAACUUUUUAAAAAUGCAACUUCCUUGCAGUAAUUUUAUUAAUAAAUCUGAAGUCACUUGUUAGCCUGAUAAUCAGACUAAAUUGCCAUUUUGUUAACUUUAAAUUGCUGAACAAAUCACUGCGAGGCAGCAGAGGCACGUGUGGUUUGGCCCAUAGACAUGUGGCAUUUACGGCCCACCAGCGUUUGGACGCCUUCGAGCCCAUGACCCAAUCUCACAGCUAUGGCUCAGUUAGCAGCAGUGCAUCAUGGUUAGGUCAGAGUAAAUCACAACAGAAAAUCUGGAGUUGGGACUCCAGAGGUGGUAGAACUGCAUACCGGCACCUUGGAUCAUCUCCUGCUGUCUUGACUUUGUCCUGCCACUGUAUAGAUCAGGACGAGAGUGUGGGGUUGAAUCUGUGCAGUUCUUCACUUUGAUCAAGGUUUUCUCAAACAGGUCACAUCUUCAAGGAUGCCAACAUUGCAGGAGUGAUUUUUGUGCUAAAGUAAGCCUCAUUAGUCACCUAC